GGAGCCGCAGGCAAGGGACUAAGGGGAGGGGGGCUCAGUGCCAGCUGCUUAAAAAUGCCCCUGUGGCAGCGAGGGGCACCAGAGGCUGGGUCUAAUUAGUUGAGAAGCAGUGACACCCCCAACCACUCCCCAAACAGGCUGGCUCCCGUCUCCAGGCCCCAAGGAGCCACACCUGGACCAGACCCCAGGAAAGACAUGUGGUGGAAACCCUACGGCCCUGGAGCCCAAGGAGAGCAACGGCUGUAACAAGUGCACAGGCAAGGGCGCUAGCUGGUGGGAGCCACCCCGCCAUGCUGAUGUCAGAGAAGCAAGAACUCUGGAGAAGCAGCCUCCUGGGACCAGAGGAGGGCCAGCAGCAGGCAGCCCGGAGACAGAACUCUCACCCACGCCUCUCCAAGCCUCCCAACAGAAGACAGAGGUCCCCCACAGCCAGAGACAUUUCCUGAAGACAUGGGGAACACAGAGGCAGAAACAGCCCAUCCACCCAGGAGCUGUCCCCCACACUGCCGGGAGCCGGCACCCAGAGCCGCCAGGUAAAACUGAGGCCACCUGGUUCAACAUCACCUUUCACAGAAGGGGAAGCAGCCACAGAAAGAAGGGCCUCGUUAAGAAGUGGAACCUGGGACCCCCAAGCGGUGUCUCUCAUCCUGACUGGGGAUCCAGAGUAGGAGGGAGCCUUUGGUGGGACACAAAGGAACAGAACGAGGCACCAACAGCAAGGGGCAAGCAGAUUCAAGGGCCACAGAGGAGAUGGAGGCAAACACCUUCCCCUGGUCAGAGGCUGUGCCUCAGCCCUUCUCCCUGCAUCAGUUUCUCCUUCAGAAGCAUGGGACUACCUCCCAUCUAGUUCUCGUUUCUAAACCUAGGGGAGAUGCUAUCUUUGCUGCAAUAAUCUUAGCCUACAUCUUGGAAUGGAAAUGGCCUUGGUGGAAAUGGUCUUCAACUCCUCUGGUCCAAGCUCAGGCCCUGUGACCCUGGAACAAUCCCCUUCCUGGUCCUCCAUGUAGGAGCAAUAACAUUCCCUUGCCAGCAGCACCAGCCAUUCUGAUGAUUAAAUGGUAUCGGACUCUGUUUUCCAAACUCAGUCAUUCAGAUGCCCCCUAUUUUAUUUCUUCCAUGUCUGCAAAUGAUUAUAAUAUUUUUAAAUGUAGGAUGAGUCCUUUUUAUUACACAUAGAAAUAGCUACUGUAAAUAGCAAACUCUAACACUGUGCCUAAUUAGGAAAUAAAGGUAACCAUAAAUACA
This 1245-nucleotide long non-coding RNA is filed under the name Homo sapiens (human). RNAcentral's name for it is "long non-coding RNA NONHSAT203407.1". The record is from RNAcentral. Lineage: Eukaryota; Metazoa; Chordata; Mammalia; Primates; Hominidae.